GUUCAUUGUUUUCCGAAUCUCUUCACGACAGCGAGUUUUUGGAGGCGAGAUUGAUUUCAUAUUCUGAAACUUCUAGACCUCUCCUUACUCAGCAAGAGGGUACCUUUCUUUGCAAGUUCCGGGAGCCUCGUGGAAAACGGCUUGGCUUCUGUGAGACAGUGUUUGGCGAGUGCCAUCGGACCCUGACCCCAUCCCACAGUUCGUAUGGAACCGAAUCAGUCUUCAUGUCAUGGUUUGUGACCAGACAGCUUAUAUGAAGGUCUUGAACAGUCAUCAGCUGAGAAACCACACAGAAAAAAAAAGUAAAUUUUAAGAAUGUGUCCGGAGAGCAUUGAGGAUUGGGAUCGUUUGAUGUAGUAUUGAACCUGGGAAUCCGCAAGCCGGCGCUUUGCCCGAGAUAAUCCAAGAGCCACAAAAGUUUUUUUUCUUUUUAUUGUGCAAUAAAGUGUCUCUUCAUGAAGCAAGAAAUGAGACAUAGCAUGAAACUAUUGGUGCCAUCCUCUCAAUUUAAUCAUUUGUGCACGUCGUCAUCCACGACGACGCAUGUCCGCGCAGUAUGUCCUAGGAGUUUUCAGUGAUCGGCAGCAAGUUGGACACAAAUCUUGUUUCCUUAUCUUAUCACCUGGGUUCUAGAAUUUUGUACAGCCUUUUCAAGUCUGCAUCUGAGACAUCUCCGUGUGAA
Molecule: unclassified non-coding RNA, 682 nt
Filed under: Ixodes scapularis (black-legged tick)
Lineage: Eukaryota; Metazoa; Arthropoda; Arachnida; Ixodida; Ixodidae
Description: zinc finger protein 525-like, transcript variant X1
Source: RNAcentral